GCAGGUGCGCAGGCCGCGGAUACUUCGCCUCGAAAGCGGGUACGCGGGUUCGAAUCCCGUCACCGGCU
RNAcentral lists this transfer RNA (68 nucleotides) under Streptomyces sp. JB150. RNAcentral describes it as "tRNA-Ser". The record is from RNAcentral. Lineage: Bacteria; Bacillati; Actinomycetota; Actinomycetes; Kitasatosporales; Streptomycetaceae.